UUGAAGAAAAAGAAAGCUAGAUAGAUGGAG
This 30-nucleotide non-coding RNA is filed under the name Mus musculus (house mouse). Lineage: Eukaryota; Metazoa; Chordata; Mammalia; Rodentia; Muridae. The record is from RNAcentral.